AUUGAACGCUGGCGGCAGGCCUAACACAUGCAAGUCGAACGAGUGGCGGACGGGUGAGUAAUGUCUGGGAAACUGCCUGAUGGAGGGGGAUAACUACUGGAAACGGUAGCUAAUACCGCAUACCAUCGGAUGUGCCCAGAUGGGAUUAGCUAGUAGGUGGGGUAACGGCUCACCUAGGCGACGUUCCCUAGCUGGUCUGAGAGGAUGACCAGCCACACUGGAACUGAGUCACGGUCCAGACUCCCACGGGAGGCAGCAGAGGGGAAUAUUGCACAAUGGGCGCAAGCCUGAUGCAGACAUGCCGCGUGUAUGAAGAAGGCCUUCGGGUUGUAAAGUCCUUUCAGCGGGGAGGCGUUACCCACAUAAGAAGCACCGGCUAACUCCGUGCCAGCAGCCGCGGUAAUUC
Molecule: ribosomal RNA, 406 nt
Filed under: uncultured bacterium
Lineage: Bacteria
Description: partial 16S ribosomal RNA
Rfam family: Bacterial small subunit ribosomal RNA
Source: RNAcentral